RNAcentral lists this transfer RNA (84 nucleotides) under Candidatus Woesearchaeota archaeon B3_Woes. RNAcentral describes it as "tRNA-Leu". It matches the Rfam family "tRNA". Rfam says of the family: Transfer RNA (tRNA) molecules are approximately 80 nucleotides in length. Their secondary structure includes four short double-helical elements and three loops (D, anti-codon, and T loops). The record is from RNAcentral. Lineage: Archaea; Nanobdellati; Candidatus Woesearchaeota.
GCGGAGAUGCCGGAGCGGUCAAACGGGACAGGCUUAGGACCUGUUAGCUUAGUGCUUACGGGGGUUCAAAUCCUCCUCUCCGCA